AAGGGGGCGCGGCACCAGUAGGAGCUCUUCGCGGCCCCCGCAGCAGCCAUGGCGAAAGGCAGAGUCGCUGAUCGAUCGCCCACCGAAAUGUUGCACUCGACCCCAGCCGGGGACCGGGCAGUGAGGACCCAGGGUUCCGCCGCGCCUGGCAGCAAAGAUCAUCUGAACGAAAAGCCUUGUGCAGAAGCUGGAUCAGCAAGAACAUCACUCCUUAUACUGGUGUCCAUUUUUUCAUGUGCAGCUUUUGUUAUGUUUUUGGUAUAUAAAAAUUUUCCUCAGCUUAGUGAGGAAGAGAGGGUGAAUAUGAAGGUUCCGAGAGAUAUGGAUGACGCCAAGGCUCUAGGAAAAGUUCUCUCCAAAUAUAAGGAUACCUUUUAUGUACAAGUACUGGUUGCUUAUUUUGCUACAUAUAUUUUUUUGCAAACAUUUGCUAUCCCAGGUUCCAUAUUCCUCAGUAUACUCUCCGGGUUCCUUUAUCCCUUCCCACUUGCCUUAUUCCUUGUUUGUUUGUGCUCCGGACUUGGUGCCUCAUUCUGCUACAUGCUCUCCUACUUAGUUGGAAGACCCGUUGUAUACAAAUACCUAACAGAGAAGGCAGUGAAAUGGUCACAGCAGGUAGAGCGUCACAGAGAACAUCUUAUUAACUACAUUAUAUUUUUGAGAAUCACACCGUUUCUUCCUAAUUGGUUUAUUAAUAUUACAUCUCCUGUGAUAAAUGUACCAUUGAAAGUGUUUUUUAUUGGCACUUUUCUAGGUGUUGCACCUCCUUCUUUUGUAGCAAUCAAGGCAGGAACAACUCUGUGUCAGCUUACAACAGCAGGGGAAGCUGUUUCCUGGAGCUCGGUAUUUAUUCUGAUGGUUUUGACUCUUCUUUCUAUCCUGCCAGCCAUCUUCCAAAAACAACUAAAGCAGAAGUUUGAGUGAAAAGACAUGGCUUUCCGUUUACCACCGCCAUCACUCCUGCCACCACCACUGUCAUCUCAGGAUUAGCAGGUGUAUUCAUGUUACGUUUGGACAUCACCUCUUCAGUCACUGAAAGAAGGACUUGUAAAGUAAAAUAGCCCAUGAGAGAGAAUGCACAUAUGGGAGAACAGAAGUUGGGGCCCUAUGAGAAGUGCUGUCACCUGCACCUGACCUGUGAGAGUCACUGUUCCAGGGUUAGCUCUGAGACAUCACUCAUUGUCUUGGUUUGGAAUUCUUACUCUAAAUGAUUCAUUUGAAGUGUUUUCCUCUUACAUCUGACUAAUGACUAAAAUCGUGAACUCAGGUACAGUGGAACAUACUUAAAACUCCAGCUGCCCGGGAGGCUAAGGCUAGCUGUGAAAGUCACAAGACACCCUGUAUUAAAGUAAAAUAAGGAACAGUGAAGAUAAAAUAAAAUAAAAAUUCAGAGCACAAACCAAAUACUUGAAGCAAAAAUGAGUUUUCAUUUUCUUUCUCUUUUCAGACAGCACUUUCCAUAGGCCAGUGUAUGUAGCAAUGAUGGGUUAUUUAAGUUUUCCUUGGAAAUUUGUAUCAUGGAUUAGUCCAAUAAUUUGAAUUCUGGCCAGUCUGUUUUCAUCCUUUUUUCUAGGUUUUGCAGUAUUUCCACCAUACAUAUAGAAAAGGAGAAUUAUAUAUCUGUAUCAUAUUGGUGUUGAUAAUGUAUAUUAAGAUAAUGAUAUUUUGUUACAGUGUCUUUAUUAUCUCAAAGGGGGUUCCAAAGUAAAUACUCAAAGCAUAUACUUUUUAGACAUUAUUUUAUACUGAAACAACUGACAGUAGGUAGGACAUUAGUGAUUAAAUCUAGUUUAUUUGUUCCAAUGACUGUAAAAUUUGCCUCAUAGAUUGUCUGGUCAUUAAAGAAUGUAUUG
This 1853-nucleotide long non-coding RNA is filed under the name Mus musculus (house mouse). RNAcentral describes it as "long non-coding RNA chr9:90118888-90120741". Lineage: Eukaryota; Metazoa; Chordata; Mammalia; Rodentia; Muridae. The record is from RNAcentral.